AGAAAAGCGGCUUCUAUCCUUGAGUUUUUGGCAAUUAUUGAUGGAAGCAUGGACAUGAUCAUCUCAGCAAAUAUUGAAUCUGGUCUGGAUGCUGUUUUCCAACAAAAAGUAUUGAGUGAAAUGGAUUUUGAUAUUGAAAAUCAGCAGCCAGAAGUAUAUGCCCUUCAAGUUGAAGAAGCCGGUCUUGCAGUAUCUGCAGCAUCUCGGUUACUCACAAAGCUUCUUGAUUCAGAUCAAUUUUGUUGCACCAUAAAUUCCAC
This 260-nucleotide unclassified non-coding RNA is filed under the name Hevea brasiliensis (rubber tree). Lineage: Eukaryota; Viridiplantae; Streptophyta; Magnoliopsida; Malpighiales; Euphorbiaceae. The record is from RNAcentral.